This is a long non-coding RNA of Carcharodon carcharias (great white shark), 1147 nucleotides long. RefSeq lists it as uncharacterized. The record is from RefSeq and is a predicted model, not a curated record. The transcript is spliced from 3 exons. Lineage: Eukaryota; Metazoa; Chordata; Chondrichthyes; Lamniformes; Lamnidae.
GAAGCUGCUUCUAAGAGCGCCAUGUCUCAACUCACGAUUGACUUCAAGAAUGUUAACUUACUUACAAGGCGAUAUUAAUUGCAAGGCAAUAGAACAUUGCAGCUAAGGCACAGUAUGAGCUGUUAUAAGCAUCGAUACAGGAGCUGCAGAGAUAGCAUUGGUUUGAAGAAGUAUUCAAGAUCCCCACAGAUUCAAACUUUUGACAUAUCGCUGUGCUGGGAAUGAGAGGGCAUUAUAACCUGAAACCUUACAAUCAGCAACAAUUCUCCUCUCAUCCCCCAGCGAUUCCACAUCAGAAUAAUCGGGGCCCUGGUGUCAACUCCGAGAUGCAGGUUCAGAAGAAAAUUGCCCGCCAUUUGAAUAGAGGUUCAAUAGAGGGCCACGCAUCGCCUCUGCACUUCCCGUCUUAUCAGAUCUAGUCAAGCAAACGGUUCGGACCUGCAAAUCCGGGCCCCCUAGUAGUGCCGAGACGUUUGGACAUUUUAUAGAGCUCAGAGCGUAUUCCAGAAUGGAAGCAGAGUCAUUAAUACCUUCACAUUGAAGGGCAUGGACGGUUCAUUAGAGGGUUAUUUCUAAUCCUUAGUUGUGUGAUGUCAUAGUUCGUGACCUGUGUUCUGCAAUCUUUGCAGAGUUACUUAAUGAUAUACCUGUAUAUUCGGUGAAUAUAUGUAGUAGUUGCAUUAACGGUGAAAUGGUGUAGAAGUCUCCAUAAAAGAUCCCUGUUGAAGUGUGGGAGGGAUAGAAAGUAGUUUAUUCUAUUGAACAGUUUGUGUCUUUUGCAGAAACCUAUAUCCAUUUACUGAAUUCUUUAUUCGGUAAUGAGAUCACAGAAAAAGUAUAAGAAUUCGAAAAUCAAUUUCAUGAAGAUAAAUAGAAAGUCUAUGGACCCCCUGACCUUUUGCUUCCUCUUGGCGUCCUGAGAGUUAAUUGUAAAGAUUACUGUCCUACGCUAAUUCGCUAUGAUCGUUUCGCUGUGGUAUUGAGGGGGUUAAUAGAAUAUUCUAAAUAAGUACGUACAAGUGUCUUCAUAUUGAAAGAGAUGGAUAGUUUUUUAGGGCUAUUUUUCAUCCUUACUCCUGAAACGUCUCAAUACCGAUGUUUGUAAAAUGAUGGAACUGUACAUUGGAGAUAAAAGCAAAAACUGCGG